Molecule: long non-coding RNA, 2791 nt
Filed under: Homo sapiens (human)
Lineage: Eukaryota; Metazoa; Chordata; Mammalia; Primates; Hominidae
Description: HSALNT0070980
Source: RNAcentral
GUAUAAUAGGAUUCCAUUUUCUGUAAAAAACAAUUUAAAACAGUUUAGUUUCCCCGCCCCCAACAUAUAAUGGAUUAGAGGCUUUUAGCAUGCUUCAGCCACUUGGAAAUAACAAAACAGUGCAUAAAAAUCAAUUCUGUGAGCUUUAAUUCAACAAGGAAAAUGAGAAUCCACCAGAAUCACGAAGGACACCCCAGAUCCUGGGGAGAACACCGGCAAAGAGUACCCAUGAUGGCAUCUGACUGUUAAAAGUGAGUGAAGCCCUCGGAAGUGAGAGAGGAAGACAGCCUCCCUCUCUGCUGAACCUUUCCAGUAGUAAUCCGAGCAACCCUGGACGAACGAGAGGAUUGUGUUUCUCCCAAGACCUGGAACUAAUGGGGAGAGGCUUGGACAUGCUGUGAGGAAAAGAUACUGGGAAAAGCUGCAGACAUCUACCGUAGACACAGGACGAAAAGCAGGACGCCAUUUUUAAUCCAGUUUCAACUUAUGGCCCAAGAAAAUAGAAGUCAGAAUCAAAAUCCAGCAUGCAGAACUUGUUGUAAAACAUGGCAGUACAGACUCUCAAAAAGUACCAGAAGUAACUCAUGAGUAAGUUACUCAACCAGGAAAAGCACAUAGAACAGCAUAGAGAUUGCCUUAAGGAAGAAGCUACUGCUGCUGCCAUUCUGCAUUGGGAAGCUCAUCAAACACAUCAUGGGUAUUAUAGGACUUGCUACAUUGGUCUUUGCUAGCUUCAAUGCCUGGAAUGCAAACUUCGGGUCCCUUGUUAGUAGAAAGAUGCACAGAUGCGGCUCUGUUGACUCAGUUGUUUAAAUACAUAUUGUCAAACAAAAUAUUUGCAGCACUGAUGCCAAGUUCCUCCUGACAUUCACAAUAAUAUUGAAUUUGACUCAACCAAACAAGUGUGACAAUAUGUGGAAUAAAAUUUCAUCUAGGUUUUAUCUGGUUUCAAACUCUCUUAGAUUUAACACUCUUUUGUGGUUUUCAAUUUGAAACAGAAUUUGGCUAAGUUUUGGUGAUUGAAGCUGUAGAGCCAUUAAAUUAAAAAGGUAUGCUACUACUAUUUAAAGCGUCGUUUAGCUUAAUGCUAAAUUGUCCUCAAAAUUGUUCCAGUUUAAGCCUGCAAAAAGCUUUACAAUAUGAUCAUUUUCUGGAGAUCAUUUUUCUUGAAGGUUGAAACUAAAUUACUAUGAAAAUAUUUUCAGUAUUAUUUAAAUAAAAACUUUAGAACCUCAUGGAAUGUGUGCAAGUAAUUCCUGUAUCUUUUCAUUACAAUAACAACACUUUAACAGAAGUAGAAUUUUUUUUAACGAAGUGACUUUUCUUUUUUCUUUUUCUUUUUUAUUUUUCUUUCUUUCUUUUUUUUUUUUUUUUUGAGAUAGGGUCUUACUCUGUUGCCCAGGCUGGAGUGCAGUGACGCCAUCUUGGUUCACUGGAACUUCUGCCUGUUAGACUCAAGCAAUCCUCACACCUCAGUCUCCUGAGUAGCUGGGACUACAGGCAUCUGCCACUAUGCCCGGCUAAUUUUUUGUAUUUCUGUUAGAGAUGGGGUUUCACCGUGUUGCCCGGGCUGGUCUCAAACUCCUGGGCUCAAGCAAUCCACCUGCCUCAGCCUCCCAAUGUGCUGGGAUUACAGGAGUGAGUCACGACGCACAGCCAACAAAGUGAUUUUUAUCUGAAAGUAAUUGCUUUAGGUAAGCACACACAAAAACAUACUUAGAAAAAAUAAUGAGAUGCUAAUAAAACCUAUUUUCCCCUACUUGUAUAUAUUUUCGUUACAGCAUUUAAAGAAGAAUGUAUCACAAUCUGUUGUACACAGAUAUCACUCCAAUUUGGACUCUGAAUGCUUUGAUUAUGCCUGUCUUUAUAUUUGUGCUUUCUAGUACCUAGUAAUAUAUCUCAUAAUUAGUGGGGGUUUUACAAAUAUGAAAAGAAGAAAGUCAUGGAAGAAAAUGGAAUGGAAGAGGAGCAUAAAGGAGAAAUGCAAGGAAGCAACCCAGGAACAAAUACAUGUUUUAAUAUUUUCUCCCAUUCACCAUAUAGAGAGUUAAGUACACUAACUGUGUCAUGGCAAACACUAAUACCACUAUGUUAUUAUGGUAUUGUAAAUUAACAACUGUUUUUUUCAAAAGGUGUAAACCUGUGACACGUAUUUCCAUAUUUAUACAUUCGAAGUGAACCUAAGACUUGAUAUAUAAAUGCACUUUGAUUUUGGGGGCCCAGGGGGUACUGGGCAGCCUGUAAUCAUUGGCUUAAUUAUAGCCUAAAGAAAGUGAUUAGAGUGAUAAGAAAGUAGAAAACAUAUGGAGAAGCAGGGCAUUUAAAUAGAGAUAAGAAAUAAAAGUGGAACAUGAUCAUGGUUCUCUGUGUGACAUGGAGGGAAUAAAAUUAAAAAUACAUCAGCUCAAAAAGUAACUAUGUCACCAUCUUGUUCUAUGAACUUGGGUAUAUUACUUAAUUUUCUAAAUGGCUUUUUCUUCUUAUAUAAAAUGUUGUUACUAACACAAUCUUCAAAGUGUUCUGAGAGCUAAGUUAAAAAGCAAGUAAACAACUGCUGAUUAACAUUUUAUGUAAGAACUGACAAUUUUAAGAUAUUUUUCUUUAUACACCUGACCUUAUCUCAAUCAAUUUAGACUUAAUGAUCUCUAUGAUUUUGGGGUAGAAUGCCGGAGAACAAAAAGAAAAAAAAUGUUUAAACUUUAAACAGAUACAUCCUUAGGAACACUAAAGAAAAAUAAUAGGCUUCACCCCUAGAUUAUUUAAUUAAUAUUCAUUUAUUACCACCUACUAC